UUGCCUCUUGUGUUAAGCUGAGUUUUUGGAGCUACCAAUAUGUGACUUAAGCUGAUCGCAAAUUCGAUAAGCAACUUUAGUUUUAUUACAGCUUAGCUUCUAAUUCUGAAGCAGGAUUUUCUUAAUUUUCUGCUGGUUUUUCUUGUUGGUCUCAUUUUCAGGGGAAUUGAAGAAUCAUAUUCCAAUGAAGAUGUUUCUGUUUAUUUGGUGGAGACUCCUGCUUGCAGGCAAACGAGAGAGCAAAUCCAUGAAUUUAUGGAGAAGUAUAAGACAUACAAACUUGCAAAAGCUGAGAUCCUCAAUGUCAUCAACGUUGCACCUCGUGAAUUAGUUGAAAUUGACCCGGUAGUUUUAUUAUUAAUUCAUCUUUCUCUUUCAUUAAUUAAUUCAUUCAUUCCUUCUUUCUUUCUUUGAAUUGUCCUUACAGAAAUCUUGGCUUAGGAGUGACACUUUCUAUGCUAUUUUUCUCAAUUUGUGAAUGUUCUUUUA
Long non-coding RNA from Hevea brasiliensis (rubber tree), 489 nucleotides. RefSeq lists it as uncharacterized. The transcript is spliced from 2 exons. Lineage: Eukaryota; Viridiplantae; Streptophyta; Magnoliopsida; Malpighiales; Euphorbiaceae. The record is from RefSeq and is a predicted model, not a curated record.